RNAcentral lists this ribosomal RNA (1460 nucleotides) under Pyrococcus abyssi. Its description in RNAcentral is "16S ribosomal RNA". It matches the Rfam family "Archaeal small subunit ribosomal RNA". The record is from RNAcentral. Lineage: Archaea; Methanobacteriati; Methanobacteriota; Thermococci; Thermococcales; Thermococcaceae.
GUCCGACUAACCCAUGCGAGUCAAGGGGGCGUCCCUUCUGGGACGCCACCGGCGGACGGCUCAGUAACACGUCGGUAACCUACCCUCGGGAGGGGGAUAACCCCGGGAAACUGGGGCUAAUCCCCCAUAGGCCUGGGGUACUGGAAGGUCCCCAGGCCGAAAGGGAGCCGUAAGGCUCCGCCCGAGGAUGGGCCGGCGGCCGAUUAGGUAGUUGGUGGGGUAACGGCCCACCAAGCCGAAGAUCGGUACGGGCCGUGAGAGCGGGAGCCCGGAGAUGGACACUGAGACACGGGUCCAGGCCCUACGGGGCGCAGCAGGCGCGAAACCUCCGCAAUGCGGGAAACCGCGACGGGGGGACCCCCAGUGCCGUGCCUCUGGCACGGCUUUUCCGGAGUGUAAAAAGCUCCGGGAAUAAGGGCUGGGCAAGGCCGGUGGCAGCCGCCGCGGUAAUACCGGCGGCCCGAGUGGUGGCCACUAUUAUUGGGCCUAAAGCGGCCGUAGCCGGGCCCGUAAGUCCCUGGCGAAAUCCCACGGCUCAACCGUGGGGCUCGCUGGGGAUACUGCGGGCCUUGGGACCGGGAGAGGCCGGGGGUACCCCCGGGGUAGGGGUGAAAUCCUAUAAUCCCGGGGGGACCGCCAGUGGCGAAGGCGCCCGGCUGGAACGGGUCCGACGGUGAGGGCCGAAGGCCAGGGGAGCGAACCGGAUUAGAUACCCGGGUAGUCCUGGCUGUAAAGGAUGCGGGCUAGGUGUCGGGCGAGCUUCGAGCUCGCCCGGUGCCGUAGGGAAGCCGUUAAGCCCGCCGCCUGGGGAGUACGGCCGCAAGGCUGAAACUUAAAGGAAUUGGCGGGGGAGCACUACAAGGGGUGGAGCGUGCGGUUUAAUUGGAUUCAACGCCGGGAACCUCACCGGGGGCGACGGCAGGAUGAAGGCCAGGCUGAAGGUCUUGCCGGACGCGCCGAGAGGAGGUGCAUGGCCGCCGUCAGCUCGUACCGUGAGGCGUCCACUUAAGUGUGGUAACGAGCGAGACCCGCGCCCCCAGUUGCCAGUCCCUCCCGCUCGGGAGGGAGGCACUCUGGGGGGACUGCCGGCGAUAAGCCGGAGGAAGGGGCGGGCGACGGUAGGUCAGUAUGCCCCGAAACCCCCGGGCUACACGCGCGCUACAAUGGGCGGGACAAUGGGUGCCGACCCCGAAAGGGGGAGGUAAUCCCCUAAACCCGCCCUCAGUUCGGAUCGCGGGCUGCAACUCGCCCGCGUGAAGCUGGAAUCCCUAGUACCCGCGCGUCAUCAUCGCGCGGCGAAUACGUCCCUGCUCCUUGCACACACCGCCCGUCACUCCACCCGAGCGGGGCCUAGGUGAGGCCCGAUCUCCUUCGGGAGGUCGGGUCGAGCCUAGGCUCCGUGAGGGGGGAGAAGUCGUAACAAGGUAGCCGUAGGGGAACCUACGGCUCGAUCACCUCCU